AGUUCGGAUCGCAGGCUGCAACCCGCCUGCGUGAAGUCGGAAUCGCUAGUAAUCGCGGAUCAGCAUGCCGCGGUGAAUACGUUCCCGGGCCUUGUACACACCGCCCGUCACACCAUGAGAGUCGGGAACACCCGAAGUCCGUAGCCUAACCGCAAGGAGGGCGCGGCCGAAGGUGGGUUCGAUAAUUGGGGUGAAGUCGUAACAAGGUAUC
This 211-nucleotide ribosomal RNA is filed under the name uncultured bacterium. RNAcentral's name for it is "partial 16S ribosomal RNA". It matches the Rfam family "Bacterial small subunit ribosomal RNA", at positions 1290 to 1500 of the family's 1533-position model. The record is from RNAcentral.